Long non-coding RNA from Benincasa hispida (wax gourd), 526 nucleotides. RefSeq lists it as uncharacterized. The record is from RefSeq and is a predicted model, not a curated record. Lineage: Eukaryota; Viridiplantae; Streptophyta; Magnoliopsida; Cucurbitales; Cucurbitaceae.
CCUCUUCCAUUUUCCCUCCUACCAUUUUUUAUCCACUCACCCUUUCCCUCCCUAACUCUCCAUUUCCUCACUCUUUCACUCAACUCUAUUGUUGGACAGUCGUUGCACCUGAAUGGCCGACUACUGUAUUCGAACAUAGGAAUGUGACUACUACUGCACCUGAACGGACGGAUGACGAUGACCCUCUUUGACGCGAACGGAUAGCGACUAUUACUACACUUGUUUAGACGAGUUGCUGCACUCAAUUUGGACAGAACGCAAGAAUGGUUUGCCUAGAAUCCAUUCAUUUUCAGAACAAGAUUUAAAGUUGAAUUUUGACGGAGAUGGAAAGAGUUUUGGGGUUGGUAUUUUAUACUUUUGUUUCAAAAUGAUGUUAGCUUCAAUGACAUUUGUUGAACUUUUGUUAUGCAAACUUGUGAUAGCUAGUGCCAGUACUAAUUUUGUUCCUUUUGGUUGAAGUAACUUGACAAUUAUAACUUAGGUUGAUAUUACUUGAACUCAUUAGAAAAUUAACGAAGUUUGUUGA